RNAcentral lists this unclassified non-coding RNA (1529 nucleotides) under uncultured fungus. RNAcentral describes it as "sequence contains 18S rRNA gene, ITS1, 5.8S rRNA gene, ITS2, 28S rRNA gene". The stretch from base 532 to 1529 matches the Rfam family "Eukaryotic large subunit ribosomal RNA", at positions 1 to 961 of the family's 3401-position model. Lineage: Eukaryota; Fungi. The record is from RNAcentral.
GGAAGGAUCAUUCCACAUUCUCUGUGCUAGCUUUGGCUAGUACAACCCCCCUCAUACACGUGUUGUCUAGGAAGGUGUGUGGGACGUUGUUUCACGACGCGUUCUGCCCUUCCCGCAAUCCAAAAAUAUUUUUGUGGUGAACUUGUUGGAAACAUAUUGGUUGCCAAUAAGAUACAAAUGCCAAGACUUUUAGCAACGGAUACCUUGGCUCCCACAACGAUGAAGAACGCAGCGAAACGCGAUAACUAGUGCGAAUUGCAGAGUUCAGUGAAUCAUCGAGAUUUUGAACGCAUCUGGCGCCUUUGGGAUAUCCCUGAGGGCACACCUCUUUCAGUAUUGCCAAACCACCCAAGCCAUUGGCUUUUGGAAGUCUGAAAGUUACUGUUCUAUAUAGCAGCAUCUUUUGAAGGACUUGAUUCGGGUGUGGAUACCCUAAGUUACCUUGAAGUUAAUUCUCACAAGGUGGAUUCAGGAUUGUCCAUGAUAGCACCUACGAUUCAACCGUUACACGUUGAUCACUUUUUCAAUAUCCGAUCUGAGAUGAGGUGAGAUUACCCGCUGGAUUUAAGCAUAUAAUUAAGCGGAGGAAAAGAAACUAAACAGGAUUGCCCUAGUAACUGCGAGUGAAGCGGCAAUAGCUCAAGCCUAGAAUCCUUUUCAGUCUCUGGGAAGGAAUUGUGGUCUAGAGAGUUCUCGCCAGCGUGUGGCCCCAGCCUAAAUCUGCUGGAAAGCAGUGGCAGAGAGGGUGACACCCCCGUUCUCAGCCGGGAGCCCGCCGCGUACGGCAGAACCUCCAAGAGUCGGGUUGCUUGGGAGUGCAGCCUAAAGUGGGUGGUAAAUUCCAUCCAAAGCUAAAUACCUGUGGGAGACCGAUAGCGCACAAGUACCGUGAGGGAAAGGUGAAAAGGACUUUGAAAAGAGAGUCAAAAGUACUUGAAAUUGCUAAAAGCAAUCGAUAGGGACUAGUGCAUCGGUCGAUGACAAACACUGUUCGUGGAUGCAGGUAGUCUGGGGCGUCCUUGAAUGGGCGUUCGGAUGUGCAGCGUCCCGGGCUUUAAGUUUGCGUCGCGGGUCACCUGGAAUUGGGGCCGCGGGAUAAUGGGAUGGCGGUGGUAGGUGUGUGAGCGAUUACGCGAUCCCCGAAUACGUCUCCUGAUACCGUAGCCCUGAUUCACUCUGGUGACGAAAUGGUCUCUAUCGGCCCGUCUUGAAACACGGACCAAGGAGUCUAGCGUAUAUGCGAGUAUUUGGGUGGAAAACCCGAAUGCGGAAUGAAAGUGAAGGUGAGCUUCGGCUUGCUGAGAUGUUAACCCGUCAUAAGGGCGCAGCAUCGCCCGGCCUGUCCAUUGUGUUAGGUCCGAGGCCGAGCAUAUCCGUUAGGACCCGAAAGAUGGUGAACUAUACCUGAGCAGGGUGAAGCCAGGGGAAACUCUGGUGGAAGCUCGUAGCGAUACUGACGUGCAAAUCGUUCGUCGGACUUGGGUAUAGGGGCGAAAGACUAAUCGAACCAUCUAGUAGCUGGUUCCCUC